This 274-nucleotide unclassified non-coding RNA is filed under the name Hevea brasiliensis (rubber tree). The record is from RNAcentral. Lineage: Eukaryota; Viridiplantae; Streptophyta; Magnoliopsida; Malpighiales; Euphorbiaceae.
CUGCAGGAAGUGCAGAACUUGGAGCCUUAUUAGGAAGCAAACUCUGUAAUGUUUCUGAAGCUAAACUAGCAGAGAGCACUGGGGGUAAAGUUGAAGGCAAAGUUGAUGGUGCUGAAGAAGUGGAUGCUAAAUUAAGGGAACUAGUACCACUACCAACAGAAAGCAAAGGAGACUGAAUAUCUGGUAAGGAAGCUGGAAAGUUUGAAACCGGUAAGUUUGAAGUUGGCAAGUUUGAAACCGGCAAGUUUGAGGCUCCAGUGGGUAAAGGGGCAUU